UGGGGAAUAUUGCACAAUGGGCGAAAGCCUGAUGCAGCCAUGCCGCGUGUGUGAAGAAGGCCUUAGGGUUGUAAAGCACUUUCAGCGAGGAGGAAAGGAUUAAAGUUAAUACCUUUAGUCUGUGACGUUACUCGCAGAAGAAGCACCGGCUAACUCCGUGCCAGCAGCCGCGGUAAUACGGAGGGUGCGAGCGUUAAUCGGAAUUACUGGGCGUAAAGCGUGCGUAGGCGGCUACUUAAGUUGGAUGUGAAGGCCCCGGGCUCAACCUGGGAACUGCAUCCAAAACUGAGUGGCUAGAGUGCGAGAGAGGAGUGUGGAAUUUCCUGUGUAGCGGUGAAAUGCGUAGAUAUAGGAAGGAACACCAGUGGCGAAGGCGACACUCUGGCUUGACACUGACGCUGAGGUACGAAAGCGUGGGGAGCAAACAGGAUUAGAUACCCUGGUAGUCCACGCCGUAAACGAUGUCUACUAGUUGUCCGUUGUCUUGUACGAUGGGUAACGCAGCUAACGCGAUAAGUAGACCGCCUGGGGAGUACGGCCGCAAGGUUA
RNAcentral lists this ribosomal RNA (549 nucleotides) under uncultured bacterium. RNAcentral describes it as "bacterial SSU rRNA". It matches the Rfam family "Bacterial small subunit ribosomal RNA", at positions 355 to 896 of the family's 1533-position model. The record is from RNAcentral.